RNAcentral lists this ribosomal RNA (254 nucleotides) under uncultured bacterium. Its description in RNAcentral is "partial 16S ribosomal RNA". It matches the Rfam family "Bacterial small subunit ribosomal RNA", at positions 524 to 776 of the family's 1533-position model. The record is from RNAcentral.
UACGUAGGCAGCAAGCGUUGUUCGGAGUUACUGGGCGUAAAGGGUGCGUAGGCGGUUGUUUAAGUUUGGUGUGAAAUCUCCCGGCUCAACUGGGAGGGUGCGCCGAAUACUGAAUGACUAGAGUGCGGGAGAGGAGCGCGGAAUUCCCGGUGUAGCGGUGAAAUGCGUAGAUAUCUGGAGGAAUACCGGUGGCGAAGGCGGCAUCCUGGACCGGCAUUGACGCUGAGUGAGCGAAAGCCAGGGGAGCAAACGGG